RNAcentral lists this ribosomal RNA (466 nucleotides) under uncultured bacterium. Its description in RNAcentral is "partial 16S ribosomal RNA". It matches the Rfam family "Bacterial small subunit ribosomal RNA", at positions 28 to 507 of the family's 1533-position model. The record is from RNAcentral.
GAUGAACGCUGGCGGCGUGCUUAACACAUGCAAGUCGAACGAUGAAGCCCAGCUUGCUGGGUGGAUUAGUGGCGAACGGGUGAGUAACACGUGAGUAACCUGCCCUUAACUCUGGGAUAAGCCUGGGAAACUGGGUCUAAUACCGGAUAGGAGCGUCCACCGCAUGGUGGGUGUUGGAAAGAUUUAUCGGUUUUGGAUGGACUCGCGGCCUAUCAGCUUGUUGGUGAGGUAAUGGCUCACCAAGGCGACGACGGGUAGCCGGCCUGAGAGGGUGACCGGCCACACUGGGACUGAGACACGGCCCAGACGCCUACGGGAGGCAGCAGUGGGGAAUAUUGCACAAUGGGCGCAAGCCUGAUGCAGCGACGCCGCGUGAGGGAAGACGGCCUUCGGGUUGUAAACCUCUUUCAGUAGGGAAGAAGCGAAAGUGACGGUACCUGCAGAAGAAGCACCGGCUAACUACGUG